GCCCGGAUGGCGGAAUUGGUAGACGCACUAGUUUCAGGGACUAGCGGUCGCAAGGCUGUGCAGGUUCGAGUCCUGUUCCGGGCA
RNAcentral lists this transfer RNA (84 nucleotides) under Prevotellaceae bacterium. RNAcentral's name for it is "tRNA-Leu". It matches the Rfam family "tRNA". Rfam says of the family: Transfer RNA (tRNA) molecules are approximately 80 nucleotides in length. Their secondary structure includes four short double-helical elements and three loops (D, anti-codon, and T loops). Further hydrogen bonds mediate the characteristic L-shaped molecular structure. tRNAs have two regions of fundamental functional importance: the anti-codon, which is responsible for specific mRNA codon recognition, and the 3' end, to which the tRNAs corresponding amino acid is attached (by aminoacyl-tRNA synthetases). tRNAs cope with the degeneracy of the genetic code in two manners: having more than one tRNA (with a specific anti-codon) for a particular amino acid; and 'wobble' base-pairing, i.e. permitting non-standard base-pairing at the 3rd anti-codon position. The record is from RNAcentral. Lineage: Bacteria; Pseudomonadati; Bacteroidota; Bacteroidia; Bacteroidales; Prevotellaceae.